ACAAAUUUAAAGCCCCGAGAUGGUCUUCAAUGGCAAGGCACAAACAAAGUGAGCAGUUGAAUAUGGAGGGUGUUUUAAUUAAUUUAAUGGUGAAACAAAUAUAUAUAUAUAUAAGCCCCAAGAGCCAUUGACUUGUCCUGCAGUUUACCAGUCCUCUAACCCUCCCUUUCAAGUUUCAAAUCUUCCCACUUUCUCAUUCAAGCCGUUUUUGCUGUCCAAGUCAGGUUAUAUGGUGGUGGG
This 240-nucleotide long non-coding RNA is filed under the name Prunus persica (peach). RNAcentral describes it as "long non-coding RNA (PPER_LNC002925)". The record is from RNAcentral. Lineage: Eukaryota; Viridiplantae; Streptophyta; Magnoliopsida; Rosales; Rosaceae.